UACGGGGGGGGCAAGCGUUGUUCGGAAUUACUGGGCGUAAAGGGCUCGUAGGCGGCCAACUAAGUCAGACGUGAAAUCCCUCGGCUUAACCGGGGAACUGCGUCUGGGACUGGAUGGCUUGAGUGCAGGAGAGGAACGCGGAAUUCCAGGUGUAGCGGUGAAAUGCGUAGAUAUCUGGAGGAACACCGGUGGCGAAGGCGGCGUUCUGGACUGCAACUGACACUGAGGAACGAAAGCCAGGGGAGCAAACGGG
RNAcentral lists this ribosomal RNA (253 nucleotides) under uncultured bacterium. RNAcentral's name for it is "partial 16S ribosomal RNA". It matches the Rfam family "Bacterial small subunit ribosomal RNA", at positions 524 to 776 of the family's 1533-position model. The record is from RNAcentral.